This 253-nucleotide ribosomal RNA is filed under the name uncultured bacterium. RNAcentral describes it as "partial 16S ribosomal RNA". It matches the Rfam family "Bacterial small subunit ribosomal RNA", at positions 524 to 776 of the family's 1533-position model. The record is from RNAcentral.
UACAGAGGUCUCAAGCGUUGUUCGGAUUCAUUGGGCGUAAAGGGCGCGUAGGCGGCGGGGUAAGUCGGGUGUGAAAUUUCGGAGCUUAACUCCGAAACUGCAUUCGAUACUGCGGUGCUUGAGGACUGGAGAGGAGACUGGAAUUCAUGGUGUAGCAGUGAAAUGCGUAGAGAUCAUGAGGAAGACCAGUGGCGAAGGCGGGUCUCUGGACAGUUCCUGACACUGAGACACGAAGGCCAGGGGAGCAAACGGG